GUAUAGCUCUGUGUAUCAACUUUCUUUUCAAUAUCCUUUUUCCUUACAGCAUAUUUUAUGAAGAUGAAUUACACAUUUGUAUUUUGAUGAAUGAGUCCCAGGCCUUCCUUCAAAAAGCAGCAUGACUUGGUGGGCCAAAAUGGAGGCCGUUUGUUCAAAGGCAGCUUAAAAACAGAGUUGGUAUUCUUUGAAAGCUUGCCCUUUGCAUGUGGACAUGUCCUAAAGUUGAGAAAUUUCAGGAAGUGGAGGAGGAAAAACAACAGACUGAAGAUCAAUCUCAGAAACAAUGGCCUGCAGAGCUGUAGAACUUCACAAUGUAAGCCAGGAAGAGAUGGUCAUAAAGCAAAGGGUACUUAGUUACCUGGGCUGGACCGGGCCUGUGGGGAAGCGCUGCCUGCCUGGCUAACCUGUACCCUGAGUGGGGGUCCUUUCCCAAGCUGUCUUGCACGGGGAAGUUUGUGCUAUGUAUGCCAUGGAGUGGUUCCAGUCCGGUAAGGGUAUCCACGUGGUGAGUUUCAUGACAGUGACACUACAAGGAAAAGUGAGAGACUAAUCAGUUUUAUGUGCAAAAAAAGUAGUCACACCCCUGAAGGUGAAAAUAGAGCCAACCCAAGGGAAAAGACAAAUGAUUCAGUCUCAAGGCAGAGAGUUCAGUGUUGUCAAGAGCGCAAAGCAGAAUUAAUUAUCUACUCUGGCUUGCCCAUAAAGGAGAAGAAAGCAUUUGGAGCAGGUAAGGAUGAGUUCUCAUGAGGAAAUCC
This 758-nucleotide long non-coding RNA is filed under the name Chinchilla lanigera (long-tailed chinchilla). Its description in RNAcentral is "lncRNA (ENSCLAG00000028376.1)". Lineage: Eukaryota; Metazoa; Chordata; Mammalia; Rodentia; Chinchillidae. The record is from RNAcentral.